Molecule: long non-coding RNA, 326 nt
Organism: Hydra vulgaris (swiftwater hydra)
Lineage: Eukaryota; Metazoa; Cnidaria; Hydrozoa; Anthoathecata; Hydridae
Source: RefSeq, a predicted model, not a curated record
GGUUUUUAACAAUUUUUAACUUAAGCAUAAACAAAAAAAAAAUCUUUUUUUAAAAAUGAUAAAAGGUUUUUUAUUGAUUUUAUAUUUAUUUUAUUAGUGAUGACAAUGGACCAGAUAAGUAAAAGUUAUUUCAUUUAUAAAUUUUUAAUUUUCUGUUAUGUUAUAGUUAUGUUUUAUAAUUUUUUUUAGCUUGCUAAAGGUUAGACCUAAGUAUUUAUUUAUUGCUCAAACGAGUUUUUAACCAAAGUUGUUUGUUGCUUGAUCUUAGUUAAAUCACUCAUAUUGAGUAACAACUUUAAGAUUCAGAGUUGACUCGAAAUGGAAAA